CAGCAGCCGCGGGAAUACGUAGGUGGCAAGCGUUGUCCGGAAUUAUUGGGCGUAAAGGGCUCGCAGGCGGUUUCUUAAGUCUGAUGUGAAAGCCCCCGGCUCAACCGGGGAGGGUCAUUGGAGACUGGGAAACUUGAGUGCAGAAGAGGAGAGUGGAAUUCCACGUGUAGCGGUGAAAUGCGUAGAGAUGUGGAGGAACACCAGUGGCGAAAGCGGCUCUCUGGCUUGUAACUGACGCUGAGGCUCGAAAGCGUGGGGAGCAAACAGGAUUAGAUACCCCGGUAGUCCCUGUCUCUUAUAC
RNAcentral lists this ribosomal RNA (301 nucleotides) under uncultured bacterium. RNAcentral describes it as "partial 16S ribosomal RNA". It matches the Rfam family "Bacterial small subunit ribosomal RNA", at positions 509 to 807 of the family's 1533-position model. The record is from RNAcentral.